RNAcentral lists this long non-coding RNA (279 nucleotides) under Carica papaya (papaya). Its description in RNAcentral is "long non-coding RNA (CPAP_LNC003093)". Lineage: Eukaryota; Viridiplantae; Streptophyta; Magnoliopsida; Brassicales; Caricaceae. The record is from RNAcentral.
AAGAAAUCCCACGGGAAAAAUCUUGCGAGGAAGUAAAGCUGCCCACACGGGUGCCGCAAACUGUGCGCACAUGCAUGCGCCCACAGCAGGAAUGGGGCAUGCGCACGGCGUGCACGCCCAUCUGCACUCACGCACGCACGAGAUGUGUACACGUGCAUGUACGAUCUACGCGCACAGUGUGGGGACAGGUCCUAUGCGUGUCUUGUUACGCAUGUCACCUCAUGCGAGAACAGGCACCAUACACUGUACACGUGCCAUCCGCGUAGCAGGCCUACGCAA